Molecule: ribosomal RNA, 427 nt
Filed under: uncultured Bacillus sp.
Lineage: Bacteria; Bacillati; Bacillota; Bacilli; Caryophanales; Bacillaceae
Description: bacterial SSU rRNA
Rfam family: Bacterial small subunit ribosomal RNA
Source: RNAcentral
UAGGGAAUCUUCCGCAAUGGACGAAAGUCUGACGGAGCAACGCCGCGUGAGUGAUGAAGGCUUUCGGGUCGUAAAACUCUGUUGUUAGGGAAGAACAAGUACAAGAGUAACUGCUUGUACCUUGACGGUACCUAACCAGAAAGCCACGGCUAACUACGUGCCAGCAGCCGCGGUAAUACGUAGGUGGCAAGCGUUAUCCGGAAUUAUUGGGCGUAAAGCGCGCGCAGGCGGUUUCUUAAGUCUGAUGUGAAAGCCCACGGCUCAACCGUGGAGGGUCAUUGGAAACUUGGGAACUUGAGUGCAGAAGAGAAAAGCGGAAUUCCACGUGUAGCGGUGAAAUGCGUAGAGAUGUGGAGGAACACCAGUGGCGAAGGCGGCUUUUUGGUCUGUAACUGACGCUGAGGCGCGAAAGCGUGGGGAGCAAACA